UACAUUCACAACUCAACCUGUGCCUGGUGU
This 30-nucleotide non-coding RNA is filed under the name Mus musculus (house mouse). The record is from RNAcentral. Lineage: Eukaryota; Metazoa; Chordata; Mammalia; Rodentia; Muridae.